RNAcentral lists this ribosomal RNA (253 nucleotides) under uncultured bacterium. Its description in RNAcentral is "partial 16S ribosomal RNA". It matches the Rfam family "Bacterial small subunit ribosomal RNA", at positions 524 to 776 of the family's 1533-position model. The record is from RNAcentral.
GACGUAGGGCGCGAGCGUUGUCCGGAUUUAUUGGGCGUAAAGAGCUCGUAGGCGGCUUGUCACGUCGGGUGUGAAAGACCGGGGCUUAACUCCGGUUCUGCAUUCGAUACGGGCUAGCUAGAGUGUGGUAGGGGAGAUCGGAAUUCCUGGUGUAGCGGUGAAAUGCGCAGAUAUCAGGAGGAACACCGGUGGCGAAGGCGGAUCUCUGGGCCAUUACUGACGCUGAGGAGCGAAAGCGUGGGGAGCAAACAGG